This 2039-nucleotide ribosomal RNA is filed under the name Salmonella enterica. Its description in RNAcentral is "partial 23S ribosomal RNA". It matches the Rfam family "Bacterial large subunit ribosomal RNA", at positions 783 to 2802 of the family's 2925-position model. The record is from RNAcentral. Lineage: Bacteria; Pseudomonadati; Pseudomonadota; Gammaproteobacteria; Enterobacterales; Enterobacteriaceae.
CUAAUGUUGAAAAAUUAGCGGAUGACCUGUGGCUGGGGGUGAAAGGCCAAUCAAACCGGGAGAUAGCUGGUUCUCCCCGAAAGCUAUUUAGGUAGCGCCUCGUGAAUUCAUCUCCGGGGGUAGAGCACUGUUUCGGCUAGGGGGCCAUCCCGGCUUACCAACCCGAUGCAAACUGCGAAUACCGGAGAAUGUUAUCACGGGAGACACACGGCGGGUGCUAACGUCCGUCGUGAAGAGGGAAACAACCCAGACCGCCAGCUAAGGUCCCAAAGUCAUGGUUAAGUGGGAAACGAUGUGGGAAGGCCCAGACAGCCAGGAUGUUGGCUUAGAAGCAGCCAUCAUUUAAAGAAAGCGUAAUAGCUCACUGGUCGAGUCGGCCUGCGCGGAAGAUGUAACGGGGCUAAACCAUGCACCGAAGCUGCGGCAGCGACACUCAGGUGUUGUUGGGUAGGGGAGCGUUCUGUAAGCCUGUGAAGGUGGCCUGUGAGGGUUGCUGGAGGUAUCAGAAGUGCGAAUGCUGACAUAAGUAACGAUAAAGCGGGUGAAAAGCCCGCUCGCCGGAAGACCAAGGGUUCCUGUCCAACGUUAAUCGGGGCAGGGUGAGUCGACCCCUAAGGCGAGGCCGAAAGGCGUAGUCGAUGGGAAACGGGUUAAUAUUCCCGUACUUGGUGUUACUGCGAAGGGGGGACGGAGAAGGCUAUGUUGGCCGGGCGACGGUUGUCCCGGUUUAAGCGUGUAGGUGUGUGUUCCAGGUAAAUCCGGUUCACUUUAACACUGAGGCGUGAUGACGAGGCGCUACGGUGCUGAAGCAACAAAUGCCCUGCUUCCAGGAAAAGCCUCUAAGCAUCAGGUAACAUCAAAUCGUACCCCAAACCGACACAGGUGGUCAGGUAGAGAAUACCAAGGCGCUUGAGAGAACUCGGGUGAAGGAACUAGGCAAAAUGGUGCCGUAACUUCGGGAGAAGGCACGCUGACACGUAGGUGAAGUGAUUUACUCAUGGAGCUGAAGUCAGUCGAAGAUACCAGCUGGCUGCAACUGUUUAUUAAAAACACAGCACUGUGCAAACACGAAAGUGGACGUAUACGGUGUGACGCCUGCCCGGUGCCGGAAGGUUAAUUGAUGGGGUCAGCGCAAGCGAAGCUCCUGAUCGAAGCCCCGGUAAACGGCGGCCGUAACUAUAACGGUCCUAAGGUAGCGAAAUUCCUUGUCGGGUAAGUUCCGACCUGCACGAAUGGCGUAAUGAUGGCCAGGCUGUCUCCACCCGAGACUCAGUGAAAUUGAACUCGCUGUGAAGAUGCAGUGUACCCGCGGCAAGACGGAAAGACCCCGUGAACCUUUACUAUAGCUUGACACUGAACAUUGAGCCUUGAUGUGUAGGAUAGGUGGGAGGCUUUGAAGUGUGGACGCCAGUCUGCAUGGAGCCGACCUUGAAAUACCACCCUUUAAUGUUUGAUGUUCUAACGUGGACCCGUGAUCCGGGUUGCGGACAGUGUCUGGUGGGUAGUUUGACUGGGGCGGUCUCCUCCUAAAGAGUAACGGAGGAGCACGAAGGUUGGCUAAUCCUGGUCGGACAUCAGGAGGUUAGUGCAAUGGCAUAAGCCAGCUUGACUGCGAGCGUGACGGCGCGAGCAGGUGCGAAAGCAGGUCAUAGUGAUCCGGUGGUUCUGAAUGGAAGGGCCAUCGCUCAACGGAUAAAAGGUACUCCGGGGAUAACAGGCUGAUACCGCCCAAGAGUUCAUAUCGACGGCGGUGUUUGGCACCUCGAUGUCGGCUCAUCACAUCCUGGGGCUGAAGUAGGUCCCAAGGGUAUGGCUGUUCGCCAUUUAAAGUGGUACGCGAGCUGGGUUUAGAACGUCGUGAGACAGUUCGGUCCCUAUCUGCCGUGGGCGCUGGAGAACUGAGGGGGGCUGCUCCUAGUACGAGAGGACCGGAGUGGACGCAUCACUGGUGUUCGGGUUGUCAUGCCAAUGGCACUGCCCGGUAGCUAAAUGCGGAAGAGAUAAGUGCUGAAAGCAUCUAAGCACGAAACUUGCCCCGA